Molecule: small RNA, 25 nt
Filed under: Arabidopsis thaliana (thale cress)
Lineage: Eukaryota; Viridiplantae; Streptophyta; Magnoliopsida; Brassicales; Brassicaceae
Description: ATSL132770
Source: RNAcentral
UUCACGUAAAAAAAAAACGAAAAAA